AGCGUCGUUUGCGACGCCCAACACACAAAACAAGCGGUGAAUGCUUUGGGGUGGGGUGACUGCGUACCUUUUGUAUAAUGGGUCAGCGACUUAUAUUCUGUAGCAAGGUUAACCGAAUAGGGGAGCCGGAGGGAAACCGAGUCUUAAUUGGGCGUUAAGUUGCAGGGUAUAGACCCGAAACCCGGUGAUCUAGCCAUGGGCAGGUUGAAGGUUGGGUAACACUAACUGGAGGACCGAACCGACUAAUGUUGAAAAAUUAGCGGAUGACCUGUGGCUGGGGGUGAAAGGCCAAUCAAACCGGGAGAUAGCUGGUUCUCCCCGAAAGCUAUUUAGGUAGCGCCUCGUGAAUUCAUCUCCGGGGGUAGAGCACUGUUUCGGCUAGGGGGCCAUCCCGGCUUACCAACCCGAUGCAAACUGCGAAUACCGGAGAAUGUUAUCACGGGAGACACACGGCGGGUGCUAACGUCCGUCGUGAAGAGGGAAACAACCCAGACCGCCAGCUAAGGUCCCAAAGUCAUGGUUAAGUGGGAAACGAUGUGGGAAGGCCCAGACAGCCAGGAUGUUGGCUUAGAAGCAGCCAUCAUUUAAAGAAAGCGUAAUAGCUCACUGGUCGAGUCGGCCUGCGCGGAAGAUGUAACGGGGCUAAACCAU
RNAcentral lists this ribosomal RNA (651 nucleotides) under Salmonella enterica subsp. enterica. RNAcentral describes it as "partial 23S ribosomal RNA". It matches the Rfam family "Bacterial large subunit ribosomal RNA", at positions 566 to 1190 of the family's 2925-position model. Lineage: Bacteria; Pseudomonadati; Pseudomonadota; Gammaproteobacteria; Enterobacterales; Enterobacteriaceae. The record is from RNAcentral. RNAcentral also lists the same sequence under 1 other name.